CAUAUUAUGAUUGAGGAGAUGGCU
This 24-nucleotide non-coding RNA is filed under the name Arabidopsis thaliana (thale cress). Lineage: Eukaryota; Viridiplantae; Streptophyta; Magnoliopsida; Brassicales; Brassicaceae. The record is from RNAcentral.